This 289-nucleotide ribosomal RNA is filed under the name Heterosigma akashiwo. Its description in RNAcentral is "partial Bacterial large subunit ribosomal RNA". It matches the Rfam family "Bacterial large subunit ribosomal RNA", at positions 828 to 1115 of the family's 2925-position model. The record is from RNAcentral. Lineage: Eukaryota; Raphidophyceae; Chattonellales; Chattonellaceae.
GCUAAUCAAACUCGGUGAUAGCUGGUUCUCCCCGAAAGCUAUUUAGGUAGCGCCUCGGACGAAUACCAUUGGGGGUAGAGCACUGUUUCGGCUAGGGGGUCAUCCCGACUUACCAAACCGAUGCAAACUCCGAAUACCAAUGAGUACUAUCCGGGAGACAGACUGCGGGUGCUAACGUCCGUAGUCAAGAGGAAAACAAUCCAGACCGCCAGCUAAGGCCCCAAAUUCAUGGCUAAGUGGUGAACGAUGUGGGAAGGCAUAGACAGCCAGGAGGUUGGCUUAGAAGCAG